Non-coding RNA from Rattus norvegicus (Norway rat), 16623 nucleotides. The record is from RefSeq and is a predicted model, not a curated record. NCBI's taxonomy places the organism in Eukaryota, Metazoa, Chordata, Mammalia, Rodentia, Muridae.
ACUGGGAAAGGGAAUAACAAUUAAAAUGUAAAUAAAUACUCAAGUUAAUAAAGGAAAAAAAAAGCAGUAAAUAAUAAAAAAAGGGCCAUUUUACCAAAAGCAAUCUACAGAUUCAAUGCAAUCCCCAUCCAAAUACCAAUCCAAUUCUUCAGAGAGUUAGACAGAACAAUUUGCAAAUUCAUCUGGAAUAACAAAAAAUCUAGGAUAGCGAAAACUAUCCUCUACAAUAAAAGGCCUUCUGAGGGAAUCACUAUCCUUGAACUCAAGCAGUAUUACAGAGCUAUAGUGAUAAAAACUGUAUGGUAUUGGUACAGGGACAGGCAGAUAGACCAGUGGAAUAGAAUUGAAGACCCAGAAAUUAACCCACACACCUAUGGUCAUUUGAUUUUUGACUAAGGAGCCAAAACCAUCCAAUGGAAAAAAUAUCAUGUUCAGCAAAUGGUGCUGGUUCAACUGAAGGUCAAUAUAUAGAAGAAUGCAGAUCGAUCCAUUCUUAUCACCCUGUACAAAGUUUAAGUCCAAGUGCAUCAAGGACCUCCACAUCAAACCAGAUAAACUCGAACUAAUAGAAGAAAAAGUGUAGAAGAGUCUUGAACACAUGGGCACUGGAGAAAAUUUCCUAAACAAAACACCAAUGGUUUAUGCUCUAAAUCAAGAAUCGACAAAUGGGAUCUCAUAAACUACAAGGGUUCUGUAAAGCAAAGGACACUGUUUUUAGGAGAAAAUGACAACCAACAGAUUGGGAAAAGAUCUUUACCAAUCCUACAACAGAUAGAGGCCUUAUAUCCAAAAUAUACGAAGAACUCACGAAGUUAGACGGCAGGGGGCAAAUAACCCUAUUAAAAAAGGGGUACAGAGCUAAACAAAGAAUUCACAGCUGAAGAAUGACAUAUGGCUGAGAAACAUCUAAAGAAGUGUUCAACAUCUUUAGUCAUAAGGGAAAUGCAGAUCAAAACAACCCUGAGAUUUCACCUCACACCAGUGAGAUGAAUGGCUAAAAUCAAAAACUCCGACGACAGCAGAUGCUGGUGAGGAUGUGGAGAAAGAGGAACACUCCUCCAUUGUUGGUGGGGUUGCAGACUAGUACAAUCAUUCUGGAACUCAGUCUGGACGUUCCUCAGAAAAUUGGACAUUGCACUACCUGAGGACCCAGAUAUACCUCUCUUGGGCAUAUACCCAAAAGAUGCUUCAACAUAUAACAAAGACACGUGCUCCACUAUGUUCAUAGCAGCCUUAUUUAUAAUAGCCAGAAGCUGGAAAGAACCCAGAUGCCCUUCAACAGAGGAAUGGAUACAGAAAAUGUGAUACAUCUACACAAUGAAAUACUACUCCACUAUCAAAAGCAAUGACUUCAUGAAAUUCAUAGGCAAAUGGAUGGAACUGGAUAAUAUCAUCCUGAGUGAGGUAACCCAAUCACAGAAAAACACACAUGGUAUGCACUCAUUGAUAAGUGGCUAUUAGCCCAAAUGCUUGAAUUACCCUAGAUGCACAGAACAUGUGAAACUCAAGAAGGAUGACCAAAAUGGAAUGCUUCACUCCUUCUUUAAAAGGGGAACAAGAAUACCCUUGGGAGGGAAUAGGGAGGCAAAGUUUAUUACAGAGGCUGAAGGAACACCCAUUCAGAACCUGCCCCACAUGUAGCCCAUAAAUAUAUAGCCACCAAACUAGAUAAGAUGGAUGAAACAAAGAAGUGCAGGCUGACAGGAACCGGAUGUAGAUUCCUCCUGAGAGUCACAGCCAGAAUACAGCAAAUACAUAGGCGAAUGCCAGCAGCAAACCACUGAACUGAGACCGGGACCCCCGUUGAAGGAAUCAGAGAAAGGACUGGAAGAGCUUUAAGGGGCUCGAGACCCUAUAUGAACAACAAUGCCAAGCCACCAGAGAUUCCAGGGAUUAAGCCCCUUCCCAAAGACUAUAGAUGGUCUGACCCUGGACUCUGACCUCAUAGGUAGCAAUGAAUAGCCUAGUAAGAGCACCAGUGGAAGGGGAAGCCUUUGGUCCUGCUAAGACUGAACCCCCAGUGAGUGUGAUUGUUGGGGGAGGGCAGUAAUGGGGGAGGAUGGGGAGAGGAACACCCAUAUAGAAGGGAAGGGGGAGGGGCUGGGGGGAUUUGGCCGGGAUACCGGGAAAGGGAAUAACAAUCAAAAUGUAAAUAAGAAAUACUCAAGUUAAUAAAGAAAAAAUAAAAAAAUAAUAAAAAUAGAGUUAUUUGAUUUUUUUGGAGUCUCACUUCUUGAGUUCUUUGUAUAUAUUGGAUAUUAGCCCUCUGUUGGAGGUAGGGUUGGUAAAGAUCUUUUCCCAAUCUGUUGGUUGCCAUUUUGUUCUAAUGGUGGUGUCCUUUUCCUUACAGAAGCUUUGCAGUUUUAUGAGGUUCCAUUUGUUGAUUCUUGAUCUUAGAGCAAAAGCCAGUGAUGUUUUGUUCAGGAAAUUUUCCUCAGUGCCUAUGCAUUUGAGGCUUUUCACCACUUGAUUUUCUAUUAGUUCCAGUGUAUCUGGUUUUAUGUGGAGGUCCUUGAUCCACUUGGACUUGAGCUUUGUACAGGGUGAUAAGAAUGGAUCAAUUUGCAUUCUUCUACAUGCUGACCUCCAAUUGAACCAGCACUAUUUGUUGGAAAUGCUAUCUUUUUUACACUGGAUGAUUUUAGCUCCUUUGUCAAAGAUCAAGUGACCAUAGGUGUAUGGGGUAAUUUCUGGGUGUUCAAUUCUAUUCCACUGAUCUACCUGCCUGUCUCUGUACCAAUACCACACAGUUUUUAUCACUAUUGUUCUGUAAUACAACUUGAACUCAGCGAGGGUGAUACCCCCAGAAGUUCUUUUUGUUGUUAAGGAUAGUUUUCACUGUCUUGUUUUUUUGUUAUUCCAAAUGAAUUUGCAAAUUGCUCUUUCUAACUCUGUGAAGAAUUGAGUUGGAAUUUUGAUGGGGAUUGCAUCGAAUCUGUAGAUUGCUUUUGGCAAGAUGGUCCUUAUUACAAUAUUAAUCCUACCAAACCAUGUGCAUGGGAGAUCUUUCCAUCUUCUAAGAUCUUCGAUUUCUUUCUUCAGAGACUUGAAGUUCCUGUCAUACAGAUCUUUCACUUGAUUGGUUAGAGUCACACCAAGGUAUUUUAUAUUAUUUGUGAUUAUUGUGAAGGGUAUCAUUUCCCUAAUUUCUUUCUCAGCCUGCUUACCCUUUGAGUAGAGGAAGGUUACAGGUUUGUUUGAGUUAAUUUUAUAUCCAGCCGCUUUGCUAAAGUUUUUUUUUAUCAGGUUUAGGAGUUCUGUGGUGGAAUUUUUGGUGUAAUGUAAGUAUCUGCACAUAGUAAUAUUUUUGACUUCUUCUUUUCCAAUUCGUAUCCCUUUGAUCUCCUUUUGUUGUCUGAUUGCUCUGACUAGGACUUCAGUGUGGGAAACCUUUCUUUAGUAUUAUUCCUUUCAAAGAGAUGAAAACUCACACUGGAAAGAAACCCUAUGUAAGUAAGCGAUGUGGAAAGGGUUUCUUUUUCUAUACUUUAAAUCUCAUGCAUGAAAGGAUCCAUGGCAAACCCCUUCGGGCAUAAACAGUGUGGAAAAACCUUCAUUAUUUCUAUUUACGUUCAAGUACAUAAACACCCUCACACAGAGAAAAACCUUACAUAUGUAACCAGUGUGAGAAAGCUUUGUUAUCAUAACAAUUACAAAAACAUGAAGUAAUUCACAGUGGUGUGAAUCCUUAUUUUUGUAAGCAAUAUGAGGAAAGCUUCACUUGUCUCAGUUCCCCAAAAACACAUGGAAGAGGUCACCCUGGCGAGAAACCCUGUGUGUAAGCAGAGUAGGAAACCCUUUUAUUCUUAGUCCCUAAGAAAACAUGAAAGAUUUCAUACUGGAAAGAAACAUUAUGUAUGCAAAAUUGUGGGAGAGUUCUCACUUACUAGUUCAUUUCACUUCCGUGAAAGGAUGCACAAUUGAGAACAUCCUAAAAUAUACGUGCCAUGGGAAGGUUUUGCUUGUUCUGGUACCUUUAGAAAACAUGAAAGGAUCCACAUGGGAGAGAAGGUCUUUAUGUGUUUGCAGAUGUGAGAAAGCUUUCAUUUCUGACAGUGCCUUUUGGAUAUGUAAGGUAAAAUCUUACAAGCUAUAGUUCCCUUUGAUAUCUUGAUACCCUUUGAUACUAUGAAAUGAUACAGUUGACUACAUGAAACUGGGUGAGCAGAACCUAAAAAUGGCGUAGACUAAGGUCUCAUGCAAUAACCACUUCAGAGAAUCAGGAAAUUUAUACUUAGUGGUUUAAGAGUCACUGAGCCAGAAGGUGGUGAUGUACGCCUUUAAUACUAGGGAGGCAGAGGAGGGUGAAUCUCUGAGUUCCAGGCCAGCCUGGUCUACAGAUUGAGUUCCAGGACUGACAGGACUACAUAGAGAAAGUCUUUUUCAGAAAGGAAAAAACAAAAGCAUCACCUGAGUAAAGUGUACAAUCAUAAGGACAAGCUACCUGUGGCAAAAAUAUGAUUUUUGGUGGGGGAAGAUCCAAGCUGCUCAAGCAUGGUGCGUGGUGGACAGGUGGGAAAACUGGAAGACAGGAGCUGGUGUGUGGGCUGUGAAGAGAGGUGGAAUUGGAGUGAAGAGAGUGGAGACAGGUAUGAAACAACACAGAGGUCAGUAGUGGAACAUAUCAUUGCCUACUGGGGUAGGGAGGGUGGUGUGCAACAGCUUAGAGCUUGGGCAGAUACAGAUUCACUGCCUCAACAUGCCACCUGGCUUCAUUAUCACCCUGGCUCUAGGCAAUGAUGAACAUCCAAGAUGCGGAAUAGUACAUUUCCUGAACUGGACCUCUUCUAGGGACCACCAUAGUUUGUGAUACCACUGAGGUUCAUGUGUGGGUCAGUGGUCCUGAUGCAGCCAGGGACUGGGUUGAUGUCCAAGGCCUGUGUUACCAACUAACUACACUGAUGUGCAUGGUGAUGUACAUUGCAGCUUGAAGCCAGAUGGUGGUGGUGCGCAUCUUUAAUCCCACCAUUCAGGAGGCAGAGGCAGAGGCAGAAGGAUCUGAGUUCAAGGCCAUUCUGAGUGAGUUCCAAGACAGCCAGGGUUACACAGGGAAACUGUCUCAAACAAACAAACAAACAAACAAAACAAAGUAUAACAAAAUAACUUGGAAAUUGGGAAUAGAGGCUGGUGAGAUGACUCAACAGAUAAGGGUAACUGGGCCUUCACUGUCAAGGUACCAAGAACCAAGCAUAGGCCCACGAACUGACAUCAAAGCUGUUACUACCCAAGGCCAAACAGCAAGGCCAGGAAGUACCUUUCUAAAGAACAAAGGCUUUCACAUGCAUAAGCAAGGCUUAGUAGGGGGUAAACACUGAGGGGGGCCCAGGAGGGUCCUACAUAAGGGUACAUACUAUUCUUGUAGAAAGCCUAAAUUCAGUUCCCUGCACUCAGAUCUGGUGGUGCAAAACUACCUGUAACUACAGAUUCAGGGGAUUUAACACCCUCUUCUAACCUGUAUGGGAACACAAAUCCACAUAUAUCAAUGCACAUACACACAUAAUUGACUUAAUGGCCUUUUUUUACGAAAGAAAGUUAGAUGUACAUGAAGGUUUAUUGAAUGCUUCCAUGGUCUGUCUGAAGUGGUAGGUUUUCUCCUGAGGACUACAGACACCAAUGUGAGAGCAGGUAAACAACCCCGGGACUCAGAAUAUAGAUGUACAAGAAUCAGAAGGUCAGUGUCAUCUUCAGGAACAUAUGGAGUUUGAGGUCAAUUUAUAGUACAUGAAACCCUGCCUGGAAAAGAAAAAAAAGCAGAAAAAGUAUAAUAAGGAAAAAAAAAAGAAAUGAAGCAGUUUGAAAAAUUGAAGAAUUAUUCAAUUCUUCAAUUGAAUACAAAUAAUUGAAGAAUCCUCCUUCUAUAUGUUGUGUAGUAUUUUCCUCUAAAUUCAAAGCUUCCCCCCAAAGCAAAUUCAAAGAGCAAGUCUCAAGAUUAAAUAAAUAAAUAAAUUCACAAGUGUGGGAGUCCAUGCUUAUAAGAUUCAUAUGACCCUUUCCAAGGUUAUACAAAUGACAAAACUUGUUAUGGGACUGAAAUUAUCCCACCAACCUGCAAAUAUCCCUUUUUCUAGUGAGUUGAGUCCCAGCAUUGCUGUGUGUGUGUGUGUGUGUGUGUGUGUGUGUGUGUGUGUGUGUGUACCAUGCCUGGGGCCAGCACUUUUAAUAAUGCAGCUAGCUAUCUUUGAUUCACCCAACAUUUGUUGGAAUCAUUAUUUUGAGCUGUUGUUGGUCCUCUGUGUAGGCUGAGUAGGUAUUUAUUUGUUCAUCUCUUCCCAGGAAAACUCACCCAACACUGUGUAUUUUAUGUGAAGAGACAUCAUGAUCAAGAUAAGUUAUAAAAGAGAGCAUUUAAUUGGGGGGCUUACUUACAGUUUCAGAGGGUAAAUUCAUGACUAUAAUGGCAUGGAGCACAGGGGCAGGCAGAUAGGCAUGGCGCUGGAGCAGUGUUCAUAUAUUGAGACAACAGCCAAGAGGAGAGGGAGGGAGGGAGAGACAGAGACAGAGACUGGGCCCAAUGCAAGUUCUUGAAACCUCAAAGUCCACUCCCAGUGACACACUUCCAACAAGGUUAUACCUAUUCUUUCUCACAACAGUUUCACCAGCUAGGGAGCAAGCAUUCAAAUAAAUGAGCCUCUGGUGGCCAUUCUCACUGUGUUCUCUAGUAGUAGAAUCUAACCUAGAUGGAAGGAAGUGAGUCUGAGAAGAAGUCUUGCCAUUCUUCCCAAGCUGGCAUCUAAGAGCUGAGGCCUAGCAUCAAGAAGCAGUUAAACCUAGUGGAUGCAUUGGAUUUACAGGUUUGUCCUUCGUAUUUGGAACACCUGUCAUAAUCAAUCACUCUGUGAUGUAAAUGUGACCUGUUAAUUCCAUCUCCUCCCCCAGCCUUCCCUCCACUAGUCUGAAGACUGACAGGAAGUAAAUAUCCCAAUCUAGUGAUGCUGCGCCACUGUUUGGCUGAUGAAGCAAACAACCUUGAAUUUGACCUUAAAGUGAAGGCAUAACCUGAGGAGGUCACAGGACAACUUGCAAGAGUUUGUUCUCUUACCAGCACAUGACUUCUGGAUAUCCAAUAUAGGUUGUAAAGCUGGUCAAUAGGCAGGCUAAGUGAUCUCAUUGGACCAAAUUAAUUUUAACUCUUGAGUCCUUGGGAAAAAAACAACUUAAUGGUUCACAGAAAUAUUCAUAACAUGUGAAGUCACCUGAUAUCUGGCAAAGAAGAUGGAAAAUAAUCCUACUGCCAAGUAUGGUGGAUUCAUGUAACUGUUCAUUAUGUUUAGAUGCUGUAUAGCCAAGGCUCUCCUCAAUCUUGAUCCUCUUGCUACAGUCUUGUAAAUAUGGAGAUUACAUCCUUGACUCAGCUUGGCCAGCUGUGAUGGAUAGUGAUUAUUGAUGUCUAGGAAAUUAGUAAUAUUCCUGCAUAUAAUUAUGAAGGUGUUUCUGGGCAGAAUUAGCAGGAGGUCAUGUGGGUCAUACCAUCCAAUAGGCACCAAGAUGCACAAUAAGAGUAAUGAACACAGAGGCACAUGGAAGCACACUAACAAUCAUACUCUCUGUCUCAUGUCUGCCAUGAGGUUAGCCAAUGUGCCCCACAAUGUGGUCCCUGCUGAAAUGUUAUGCCUGGGCUCUGAGUGACUUCAGAUUUCAGACUGAAGUCUGACUGGGAAAAUAUGAGUUGAAACUUUGUCCUAUAAUUUUUGUCCACAUGUGCAUAAAAACACUGACAGAUAAGCCAGGCAUGGUUGUGCACACCUUUAAUCUCAGCAUCCAGAAGGCCAAGGGAGCAGGAUCUCUGAGAGUUCAAAGCCAGCCUGGUCUACAUACCAAGUUCCAGACUAAUCAGUAUUGCAUAGUGAUACCCUUUCUCAAAAACAAAGACAAAAACAAAACAAAACAGAAACAAAAACAAACAACGACAACAAAAAAACCCCAACCAUCAAUGACAAAAAAAUAACACACUCAUAGAAGACCUCCCCUGACAUAAAUCAACCAUCUAAAGAAUUGGAAGCCCUCAAAGUCAUCCAGGAUCCAAUUCUUAGUUUAGAAUUGGUGGCCAAACUAGGAUCCUUUCACCACAUUAAACAAGUAAACAAACAAACAAAACUACUUUUAAAUGUGUGUGUAUAUCCUUCCUUUCUCCAUCUGCACCCUGAAGUUAACCCUGUGGCACAGCUCCCUGUACCCAAAUCCCACCCAGAGAGCACUGAUCUCCCAGGAGUGCUGUCACUCCUAAGUUCACAGAUGAGGCAAACACUUUUGCUCCAAUAACUGGCCAAAGAGGGACCUGCCAGGAGACCACAGGGCUCAGGAAACACAGAGCAACUGGGGACAGGAUGCUUCCAGUCUUUAUGCCCUGAAGGAGUUAAUCCUGUGGCACAGCUUUCUGUACCCAAAUCCUGCCCUGAGAAAGCUGGUCUUUCAAAAAUGCUGACAUACCUAAGAUCAAAGGCCCACAGGUUCACAGGAGAGACAAGUUCCAGUCAGACACAGCAGGACCAAUAACACCAGAGAUAACCAGAUGGCAAGAGGCAAGCACAAGAAACUAAGCAACAGAAAAUAAGGCUACUUGGCAUCAUUGGAACCCAGUUCUUCCACUACAGCAAGUCCCGGAUACCCUAACACAUCAGAAAAGCAAGAUUCUAAUUUAAAAUCAUAUCUCAUAAUGAUGAUAAAGGUCUUUAAAAGGGAAGUGAAUAAGUCCCUUAAAGAAAUACAGGAGAAGACAGGUAAACAUGUAGAAGUACUUAAAGAGGAAACAUAAAAAUCCCUUAAAGAAUUACAGGGAAACAUAAAAAUAUAGGUGACAGAAUUGAACAAAACCAUCUAGGAUCUAAAAAUGGAAAUAGAAACAAUAAAGAAAGCACAAAGGGAGACAACACUGGAAAUCGAAAACCUAGGAAAGAGAUCAGGAGUCAUAGACUCAAGCUUUAACAACAGAAUACAAGAGAUAAAAGAGAAAAUCUCAGGGGUAGAAGAUACCAUAGAAAACACUGACACAACAGUCAAAGAAAAUGCAAAACGCAAAAAGCUCCUAACCCAAAACAUACAGGGAAUCCAGGACCCAGUGGGAAGACCAAACCUAAGGAAAAUAGAUAUAGAAGAGAGCAAAGAUUCCCAACUUGAAGGACAAGUAAAUAUCUUAAACAAAAUUAUAGAAGAAGACUUCCCUAACCUAAUGAAGGAGAUGCCCAUGAACAUAUAAAGAAACCCACAGAACUCCAAAUAGAUUGGACCAGAAAAGAAAUUCCUCCCAUCACAUAAUUAUCAAAACAUCAAAUGCACAAAACAAAGAAUAUUAAUAGCAGUAAGGGGAAAAGGUCAAGUAACAUAUGAAGGCAUACCUAUUAGAAUUACACCAGACUUCUCACCAGAGACUAUGAAAGCCAGAAGAUCCUGGGCAGAUGUCAUACAGACCCUAAGAAAACACAAAUCUCAGCGUAGGCUACUAUAUCCACCAAAAUUCUCAAUUACUGUAGCUAGAGAAACCAAGAUAUUCCAUGACAAAACCAAAUUUACACAAUAUCUUUUCACAAAUCCAGCCAUACAAAGGAUAAUGGACUCAAACACAAGGAGGUAAACUACACCCUAGAAAAAGCAAGAAAGUAAUCUUUUCUUAAUAAACUCAAAAGAAGAUCCCCACACAAAUAUAAUUCCACUUCUAACAACAAAAAUAACAGGAAGUAAGAAUCACUUUUCUUUAAUAUUUCUUAACAUCAAUGGACUCAAAUCUGCAAGGAAAAGACAUAGACUAACAAACUGGAUACAUAAACAGGACACAGCAUUUUGCUGGAUAUAGGAAACAUUCCUCAGUGACAAAGACAAACGCUACCUCAGAGUAAAAGGUUGGAAAACAAUUUUCCAAGCAAAUAGUCCCAGGAAUAAGCUGGAGUAGCCAUUCUAAUAUCGAAUAAAAUCGACUUUCAGCCAAAAGUUAUUAAAAAAAAAAAAGGAACGACACUUCAUACUAGUCAAAGGAAAAAUCUACCAGGAUGAAAUCUCAAUUCUGACCAUCUAGGCUACAAAUGCAAGGACACCUACAUUCAUAAGAGAAGCUUUACUAAAGCUCAGAGCACACUUUGCACCUCACACAAUAAUAGUGGAAGAUUUCAACACCAUCUUCUCAUCAAUGGACAAAUGAUGGAAACAGAAACUAAACAUAAACACAGUCAAAAUCACAGAAGUUAUGAAACAAAUGGAUUUAACAGCUAUCUGUAGAACACUGCAUCCUAAAACAAAAGAAUAUACCUUCUUCUCAGCACCUCAUGGUACCUUAUCAAAAUUGAUUAUAUAAUCAGUCACAAAACAGGCCUCAACAGAAAUAAGAUUUAAAUAAUCCCAUGCAUCCUAUCAGACCACUAAGGUGAACUUCAAUAACAGCAAAAACUACAGAAUGCUCACAUACACAUGGAAGCUGAACAAUACUCUAUUCAAUGACAACUAGGUCAAGGAGGAAAUUAAAAAAGAAAUUAAAGACAUUUUAGAAUUUAAUGAAAAUGAAGGCACAACAUACUCAAACUUAUGGAACACAAUGAAAGCAGUGCUAAGAGGAAAACUCAUAGCUCUGAGUGCCUCCAAAAAGAAACUGGAGAGAGCAAACACUAGCAACUUGACAGCACAUCUGAAAGCCCUAGACCAAAAAGAAGCAAAUACACCCAAUAACUAAAUCUGAAAUUAAAAUGGAGAAAUAACAAAAACCAAGGAAAUUAAUAAACUCAUCAGAUCCUACUAUAAAAGCCUGUACUCAACAAAACUGGAAAAUCUGGAUGAAAUGGACAUUUUUCUACACAGAUACCAGGUACCAAAGUCAGAUUAGGUUCAGAUAAACCAUCUAAACAGUUCCAUAACCCCUAAAGAAAUAGAAACAUUCAUUAAAAUUCUCCCAACCAUAAAAAAGCCCAGGACCAGAUGGGUUUAGUGCAGAAUUCUAUCAGACAUUCAAAGAGGACCUAAUACCAAUACUCUUCAAACUAUUCCAGAAAAUAAAAGCAGAAGGAAUACUACCCAGUUCAUUCUGUGAAGCCACACUUAUGCUCAUACCCAAACCAUGCAAAGACCCAACAAAGAAAGAGAACUUCAGACGAAUUUCUUUUAUAAAUAUUGAUGCACAAAUACUCAAUAAAUCCAGGCAAACCGAAUCCAAGAACACAUCAAAUUGAUCAUCCAUCAUGAUCAAGUAGGCUCCAUUCCAGAGAUGCAAGGAUGGUUCAAUAUACAGAAAUCCGUCAAUGUAAUCUACUAUAUAAAAAUCCACAUGAUCAUCUUAUUAGAUGCUGAGAAAGCAUUUGACAAAAUUCAACACUUCUUCAUGAUAUAAGUCUUGGAAAGAUCAGAAAUUCAAGGCUCAUCCCUAACCAUAGUAAAAGCAAUAUACAGCAAAUCAGUAGCCAACAUCAAACUAAAUGGAGAGAAACUUGAAGCAAUCCCAGUAAAAGUAGGGAGUGGACAUGGCUGCACAUGCUCUCCCUACCUAUUCAAUAUAGUACUCGAAGUCCUAACCAGAGCUGCUAGACAACAAAAGGAGGUCAAAGAGAUACAAAUUGGAAGGAGUCAAAAUAUCACUAUUUGCAGAUGAUAUGACAGUAUACAUGAAUGACCCCAUAAAUUCCACUAGAGAACUCCUACAACACAGAGAGGACUUAUUUCCAAAAUAUACAAAGAACUCAAGAAGUUAGACCGCAGGGAGACAAAUAACCCUAUUAAAAAUGGGGUUCAGAGCUAAACAAAUAAUUUACAGCUGAGGAAUGCCGAAUGGCUGAGAAGCACCUAAAGAAAUGUUCAACAUCUUUAGUAAUAAGGGAAAUACAAAUCAAAACAACCCUGAGAUUUCACCUCACACCAGUGAGAAUGGCUAAGAUCAAAAACUCAGGUGGCAGAAAAUGCUGGUGAGGAUGUGGAGAAAGAGGAACACUCCUCCAUUGUUGGUGGGGUUGCAGACUGGUACAACCAUUCUGGAAAUCAGUCUGGAGGUUCCUCAGAAAAUUGGACAUUGCACUACCUGAGGACCCAGAUAUACCUCUCUUGGGCAUAUACCCAAAAGAUGCCCCAACAUAUAACAAAGACACAUGCUCCACUAUGUUCAUAGCAGCAUUAUUUAUAAUAGCCAGAAGCUGGAAAGAAACCAGAUGCCCUUCAACAGAGGAAUGGAUACAGAAAAUGUGGUACAUCUACACAAUGGAAUAUUACUCAGCUAUCAAAAACAAUGACUUUAUGAAAUUCACAGGCAAAUGGAUGGAACUAGAAAAUAUCAUCCUGAGUGAGGUAACCCAAUCACAGAAAAACACACAUGGUAUGCACUCACUGAUAAGUGGCUAUUAGCCCAAAUGCUUGAAUUACCCUAGAUGUACAGAACACAUGAAACUCAAGAAGGAUGACCAAAAUGCGAACGCUUCACUCCUUCUUUAAUAGGGGAACAAGAAUACCCUUGGGAGGGAAUAGGGAGGCAAAGUUUAGAACAGAGGCAGAAGGAUCACCCAUUCAGAGCGGUCUAACUUCUUGAGUUCUUUGUAUAUUUUGGAAAUAAGUCCUCUAUCUGUUGUAGGAUUGGUAAAGAUCGUUUCCCAAUCUGUUGGUUGCCGUUUUGUCCUAACAAGUGUCCUUUGCCUUACAGAAGCUUUGCAGUUUUAUGAGAUCCCAUUUGUCAAUUCUGGAUCUUAGAGCAUAAGCCAUUGGUGUUUUGUUCAGGAAAUUUUCUCCAGUGCCCAUGUGUUCAAGAUGUGUUUUCUUUCAAUCCCGCUGACAUACACCCGACAUUCACACACUGGUGGUGCAGGCGCUGACAAGGAGUAUCUUAUCUGUUUCUCAUUGGCUGAUGGUCAAUUUCAUAAUCUAUUCCUGAUUGGCUAACUCUGAAAACAGCAGGAAGGAUAUGGGUAAGAGGCCAGCCUCUCAGAAUCAUCAGGUUCUGAGACAGGGUCCUUGUAUAAACAAAAUUGCUGGAACAUAGGGCAUGCUACACUAUGUGUUUCUUACUUUCCCCAGUUUUGCCAGUUUGCCGAUGGAUAUCCUGCCACAGGUGAGUUGCUGCUCAAUAGAGGUGGGUGGGUGGAGGUGUGAUUGUUUUGCACUGCAUAAACUGUUCAUCAGAGGUUAGGGUCUUAGGAGAGAAACACGUGGGAUGCCACCUUCUGUAUUUGUCAUAUUAAAUGCCUGUGUCUAAGACGAAGAGAGAUUCUAGGUUUUGCCCCUGCAUAUCUGGGUCACAUCCACCAGUUGCUGUCCUAGUCAUAGGACUAGGACACCUGGUGGCUGAAAAUAGUGGCUGCUGCUGGGAGUCCUAGGUGUGAGGAAGAGGCUGCUGCAAGCCAAGGAAGCAGUGGAGAUGUAACCUCCCCUGGUAGCAGUAGUCUAUCCCUGCCAGGUAGCACUGUCCUGUCCCUUGCUGAGCACUCAGUGCUGCAGGCUCUCCGAACAUCUGGGAGCCCACAGCCCGCAUCUCUGCUGUCUGGGUGGGUGGUAAUGGAGGGUGGGGGCUCAUGCUCAGGAGGUGUAGUGAUCUCAGGUCCUGAAUGUUUUCUAGAAGACUGGUAGAUGGAAGGACGAAUAAGUUCUCACGUAUGUCUCAGUGUGCUUGCCACGCUUCGGACUUGGGGUAUUCCUUUCUUUAUAAUCACAGGUAAAGGAUUGCACCUUGUGUGGUUGACAAGCUUGCCUGGCAGGAGUUUCUGAUAUGAUCUUAUAUAUUUUCAGAUAUUAUUUCUUGCUAUAAAUAGUUGUUGAUUUUGUAUCUCCUGGUGUGCUGCCAGAGGGUGGCUUGUGUUAGCAAGAUACAAGGUUUAUCUUUCUUGGCACAUGUUCUAAAAUGAAGUAAAUCAGGUUAAGAUUGUUGGUUAAUCAAAGGAGCCAUUAGUUCUUGGCUGGGCACAACAACAAAACUGGCAUUUCCUCCGCACAGAGUAAGUCAGAGCAGUCAGCCUAUCUUCCUCACCCUCUUCUUCCUUUGUCACCUCAUUGGCACCUGCUUUUCCUGUGAGCCUCACAGUCUGAAGAGAAACUUUCUAAAUACUAUCAGCUUGUGCCUUUAUACUGGUGAUGCUUAGGAGUAGCAACAAUGACCUGAAUUUCCAAUAUUGCACAAUUAAUUGCAAAUGGACAUCUACAUCCACGGGGGGACUAGUGUUGAUCUCUGUCAUCAUGGCUGUUGCCCUUGGCUGUUGCCGUUGGACUGUUUUUAGAUGUUUUACUUUUUCUUUUUUUCUUUUUUUAUUUCUUUUUCAUCUUUAUUAACUUGGGUAUUUAUUAUUUACAUUUCGAUUGUUAUUCCCUUUCCCGGUUUCCAGGCCAACAUCCCCCUAAUCCCUCCCCUUCCCCUUCUCUAUGGGUGUUCCCCUUCCCAUCCUCCCCCCCAUUACUGCUCUCCCCCCAACAAUCACGUUCACUGGGUGUCCAGUCUUGGCUACUUUUUCUUUAAAGACAGACUCUCACUAUGUAGCUCUGGUUGGCCCAGAACUCUGCCUACCUCAGAUUUACCAAGUGCUAGAAUUGACGGUUUGAUCACAAUGCCUAGAUUUAGGCAUUGCAUUAAAAUACAAAAUCCUGGUGGAGGUAGGCUAUGACCGUAUGUGAAAGGUAUUGCAGUAAGGAAAAGGCCAAGUAUUAGGUCCACAAAGUUCAAUCAUGCUAUGUUAUUGGAGAAACACUCCCCCCCCUCUCUCUCCUGUUCUUAGUCUCAUUAAGAAAAUAAUUUUUUAAAGGGCAUAAAACAAUUCCGUAUUAAAGUUAAAGAGAAAACUAACAGAUCAGGUGUCACCAUAAUGUCCCCAUAGGCUCCUAUUUGGCCCCCAUUUGGCAGGGUUAUUUGGGAGACAUUAUGAGAUUAUCCUAGUUGGAGAAAGUCUGUCACUGUAGGUGGGCUUUGAGAGUUUAAAGAUUCAUGCCAUAUCAAGUUUGUUCUCUCUCUGCUUCAUGCUUGUAGGUCAAGAUGUGAGCUCUCAACUUUCUGUUUCUGUUGUCACGUCUGCCGCUUGCUACCAGGGUUCCCCACCGUACACUUCUGGACCAUAAGUCCAAAGAAAUCUAGGUCAUGGUGCUUCACCACAGCCACAGAAAAGUAGCUAACACAACAGACAACCUGUAAGUCUUGGCAGCUGCCGGAAUGGGUAGAUGGAGUUGAAGAAGGAAAAACCAUGCCUUUCACAAUGGGGAUUGGUAAGUAUCAGCAUGGAAGAAAGUUGGGGUUAGAAGGGUGAUAAGCUUCAGAGAAUGAGUAAGAAGGCCCAGAAUAUCAGGGAAAGCACACACAGACUUUGGCCAGGGAAAGCACCCAGGCUUUGGUCGGUAUCCAAAGAAAAACAGACAAAAAGAAAAGCAAAAAGUCACACUUUUCUGAGUGAGCAUUCAGAAAAGCAGACAGGUUGCUUCUGGGAAGCCCAAAGGCUUCUGGGAAGGAAAAGCACCUAGUUUCACUAAGGGAAUAAUUAUGCCUCUCAUCUCCUUUUGAGUAGUUUUUAAUGAACCAGUGGGCCUGGUGAUUGAUCGGAGGAGCUGAACUAACUCCUGUGUGUGACUGAAUGUGAUUUCUCUGUUUCCUGUUCUUUCCGCCUUGCCCUCUCUGCCAAUACAGACUCUAGUCCUCUGGAACUGCAAGCCAAAAUAAAUGCUGUUCUUUCUUAACCUCCUUUUAGUCAGGCUAUUUUAUCAUAGCAUCAUGAAUGUGACUAUUGCAGUGUACUAGAGCUAUCUCUCUAGUGUUGGGUGGUAUUGUGGGCUGUUUUGACCUCUACCAGCAGAGAUGAGAAAGAAUCAAAUCUCCUGAUAAUUGGUGUUACUAAGGCGCUCCAUACAUUAAUCAUUAAUUAAAAAAAUCCUUCUAUAGACAUGCCUGUGGGUCAGUCUGAUGGAGGAAAUAUUCCUCAACUGAGGUUCCCUCCUCCCAGGUGAUUCUAGCUUGUGUCUGGUUGACAAAACCAACUAGCAUAAGAUUCAAGGCCUUUUUGAGAAACAUUUCAAUACUAAUUUUGUUUUAAAAGUUCGACUCUUUAUUUUGACCUGUAAGGCAACAAAAAAAAAGCAGAAUAACACUCUAGCAUCUCUGUCCAGUUCAUCCUCUGGGAAAACUGAAAGCCCAGAAACAGUCAUCCUUUUCAAUGUGUAGCUGUCUUGAAUUUUAGGAGCAUCAGAGACACACGGGAGUACUCUCACACGAGGGCCUGAGAGCUGGUAUUUAUAAACAAUAAGAACUUUUCUCUUUUCUUUUGUUUUGUUUUUGUUUUCAAGACAGGUUUCCUCUGUGUAAUGUCAGCUGUCCUGAAACUCACUUUAUAGACCAGGGUGGCCUCAAAAACAGAGAUCCACCCUAUCUUCCAAGCUUCCAAGCUUGGAAGGUAGCUUCCAAGCACCAAUAAUAAAGUACCGUCAACUGUUACCAAGUGCGCAAAUAUCUGAACCUAGGGGGGCACAUUCUCACUCACACCGCUGCUGCCUCCAAUACGUCUGUGUGAAGAAGGUUUGCGAAGGUCACGUGACUCACUCUUGUGGAGAAAGGAUUUCUACACGUGCCAGAAACGAUGGAGAAAACCUGAAUGUGAAGAAAAUAAUAUGGAGAAAUGUCCUUCUUGCCUGGGUACCUGAUAUAUCACAAAGGACAUAAAUCCUCUGAAUGUCAGCGAUAUGAAGGAGAAAGUGUAAACAACGGAG